UUUUGCCUUGAUUCCUCUGCUUCACAGAGUCAAUCCAGUCUCAGGGGAGCAUCUGCCAGUAGCCCUUGCAUCCUGUGCUAAAUACAAGAUUGAUCCUUUCCACCUCAAGCAACUUGGAAGACUGGAGGCCGUCAUCCUAAGUGAAGUAACUCAGGAACGGAAAACAAAAAGCAGCAUGUUUCCACUUGUAAGUGGGAGCUAAGCUAUGGAUACACAAAGGCAUACAGAACGCUAUAAUGGACAUUGGAGACUCAGAAGAAGAGAAGAAUGAAGAUUUUGAGGUUGGAAAAAGUCAGCACCUAGGAGCUGGUUUCAAGACCCUGGGGAGACAAACUGAAUAACAUUACUGAAAUGCUUUAUGUAAUGCUGUGCUUGCAAAAGAUUGUAUUGCCCUUUUACCCGAAAUAGGUAAUAUUUCAUGUUCAAUAUUGUGAUCAUUUCCUCCUC
Callithrix jacchus (white-tufted-ear marmoset) is the source of this 447-nucleotide long non-coding RNA. The record is from Ensembl. Lineage: Eukaryota; Metazoa; Chordata; Mammalia; Primates; Cebidae.